AGCAGGUCCGCCUCUCCUCUCCAUCCUCUCAUUCAGCCUUUUUCUGUCGCUCUCCCACGUUCACUACCCGGGGUACAGCAUCACCUCUCCGCACAAACACACACGAUGGCGUAUGAGUGUGUGUCACACAUUUGUCCCUAUCAGCGGUGUGUCUGGUGAAAAGUUUCUCACAGCUGUCGGACUCGGACGGAGUGAGCGCGUGCUGCUUCUGGCACGGGUCUGGAGGAAGAAGAAGACUAUUUCUCUCUUUCUCUUCAUUUUUCCUGCUUAUAUUUACACUUCCGUGUGGAGCUUUGACCCUGUGGUUCUACUGAAGAACCUUUUUGGUUCUGGGCUCUGAGUGGACACGAUGGGAAGGUGUAGGAGGUGGAGGAACUUGGUCUUUGUGCUGCUUUGCUUCCUGAGCUCCGCAGACUUCAUGAUCUCCGACUUACAAGAUGGAACUUUACCAGACCGAGCUGAAGAUCGCAGGGUAUCUCCCAUGUCUGAACUACAUGAGACCACCAUUCCACUGGUGCUGAAGGGCAAGGAACGCAGACCUCUGAGCUCACAUCUCACAGACAGGGGUUUUCUUGCAUCGCUCCAGCUGCUCAUACAAGCAGAAGGUGAACAGCUGAUCCUGUCGCUGGAGAAAAAUGAGUAUGUUUCCUUCUGGGAGUUUUUUGCACACGUGAAGUGCUUUUCUAAAUUUUGAGGGCACAAAAAAACAAACAUGACUGUAAUUUAAC
This 728-nucleotide long non-coding RNA is filed under the name Gouania willdenowi (blunt-snouted clingfish). RNAcentral describes it as "lncRNA (ENSGWIG00000018693.1)". Lineage: Eukaryota; Metazoa; Chordata; Actinopteri; Blenniiformes; Gobiesocidae. The record is from RNAcentral.